Molecule: long non-coding RNA, 3443 nt
Organism: Selaginella moellendorffii
Lineage: Eukaryota; Viridiplantae; Streptophyta; Lycopodiopsida; Selaginellales; Selaginellaceae
Exons: 12
Source: RefSeq, a predicted model, not a curated record
CCGUUUGGAUGGGGAUGACUCUCGUAUUCCGGGGAUUGUCGAUUGUGGUGCGCCGCGCGGUCAGCAUCGGCAAUGGCGCCGCUGGAGCUGCGCAUCAAUCCAUUGGUUUGGUCCGGGCGCUCGGCCUUGCCAGCAGCUACACCAUCCAUAAGAGUUCUUUUGCUCGCUGCGCGCGUCUUGUUCCCGGCGCUGCCAUCACAUCCAAGGGUAUUGUGGAUUUUUCGGAGCUGCUAGUCUCGAUCCGGUUCGUGGGGCACCCCAAAUUUCGCACAGCCGAUGCAUGACGACGGUGUAGCGGCAUCGGGUGUCGAUGACCAGUAUUCCAGGUCUCGCGUUUUCAUGUGUGCAAGAAUUGAUGAGGAGAUAGAUCGCUCGCCGGUAUGCUCAGCAGGCGCUAUGAUCCACCGUUACCAGUAAAACAUCCUACUGGAACACCGCCAACGCGCAGAUCAACAAGGUUAUGUAUUCUCCUCUACAGGAAGAAUGUGCUUCCACCGCUUUGAGUAAGACCAAGAUCGGCGCAUCGGUGUGGAUUUCGUUGGAGCGAAUGCGAACAGUGAAGCCGGUGCCUGGAAUCCGACCAUGUUUGCUCUCAGGCUUUUUGAUACCCUGAAGAUCGUGCCAGUAGUAUCGAACAAGGUGUUAAGAAUGGAACCUAGAGUUCGUGGUGUUUCGUACAUGAAGGAUUACGGCAACGCGAGGUGGAUCGAGAAAUGAGGAUCGAUCGGAAGAACACGCUCGUGAGUAGAGUUGGAACGAAGAAGGCCAAGAACGCGCUGCAAAGAAUGUCGAGAGCUGAUUGAUCUAAGGACGCGCAUUUUGAUUCUGGAGGCCAUGGAAGGCGAGGACACGACUUACUGAUCGCUGCUGCGGGAGCUCCAGAGCAUCUGGGAGGAGAUGGGGGAGGGCGACGAGGAGAGGGACAGAAUGCUGCUCCAGCUGGAGCAAGAAUGCCUGGAUGUGUACCGGCGGAAGGUGGAUCAAGCGAAUUGCGUGAGGGCUGGGCUGCACCAGCUGCUGGCGGAUUCCGAGUCGGAGAUCGCGUCGCUCCUGUUGCUCCUGGGUGAUCGCCCUUGCACGUUAGAGAAGAGGUCGGCACUACUCUGCGGGAGCAGCUCUUGUCCGUCUCACCUCAGUUAGAAUGCUUGCGUCUGAGGAAAGAGGAGCGGCUGAAGCAAUUUGAGGACGUGCAAUGCCAGAUACAAAGGCUCUCUCAGGAGAUAUCGCCAGGGGCAUUGCAAGAGGCCGAGAAUGGAGCUUUUUCUUGGAAAGGUUUGUUGCUGAGAAAGCUGUAUGAGUACCAUUGCCAGGUUCAAGAGCUUCAGGAUGUAAAGAGUAGCCGGCUCCACAAAUUCUCAGAGCUUCUCGAGGUUCUGCAGGGAUAUUGCGUCCUGUUGGGGGCAGACUACACCGAGGCUGUCAAGGAAGUGCAUCCGAGCCUUUGUGAUCCAGGCCAGAGCAGAAGUAUUAGCGAUGAGACGCUAGAGAACUUAGCCAAGACGAUCGGGAGUCAGGGAUAGUGGACUUGUCAGAACUACUUGCUACAAUCGAAAGUAGUAUCGCCGAGGAGAAGGAAGAAUCACUCGGCAGACAAGAUAUAAUGGAAUGAAUGGAACGGUGGAUUAGUGCGUGUGAAGAAGAAAGCUGGCUUGAAGAAUACAAUAAGGAUGAAAGCCGCUUCAAUGCAACCAGAGGAGCACAUUUGAGUCUAAAACGUGCAGAAAGAGCUCGUGUCAUCGUGGCCAAACUCCCCAAUGCGUUGCUAUUUCUUUUCUCAGUUUUCACAACCUUUUUGCAGAUCUUCUUGAAUUAUUGAAGUCCAAAAUGCGGUCUUGGGAGGACGAAAGAGGCAGGCCCUUCUUAUAUAACGGGAUUUCUCUACUGGCAAUUCUAGAAGAAUAUAGCUUGCUACGACGAGAGAAAGAAGAAGAAAAGCGCCGACUGAGGGAGGAGAAGAGAAUGCAGGAGCAACUGCAAACUGAGCAGGAGCUGCUCUACGGCACAAAGCCGUCCAAAAAGGGACAGGUGGGACUUCGCGUGAGUGGAAACAAUGCAAACCGACGACUUUCGAUAGUCCCUGAGCUCUUACCCGCACCGAAGGCUAGCAAUCAAAAGGUUAACCGGGUGAAACGCUACUCUCCGAUGAUGAAUUACGUUGCCUUGCCUAAGGAUCCCGAAGGUUCUUCGAUUGGAUCAGCUCCGGAUUCUCCUGUUGCGGCAUGAAGGUCAGGUUUUUGUUAGAAUGGACCCGUGCGUGAUGUUUUGCCUGUGGUGGCCAGAGCGGUUUUGAAAAUUAGGACGAUAAGCGGGGUUUAUACUGUAAGUAGAGUUUGUUUCUUUGCUAUCAAGGGUAAUCGCGUAUCCUUUUUCCAGUGCUCCGUGUUUUGUGUAUUGGGAAAGCGUAGGAGCAUGUGCUAUUUGUUCAAAGCUUUGAUUGGUGUAAAGCAUCGAACUAAUUGUUUCGUGUUAAGUUUCAUUCAAGACAAGUUCCACACAGGCUAUGCUCUCAAAUGAUUCAAAGGCUCGCAAGCUUGACAUGCUAUGUACCAGAGAGCCGAAACAACGGUUUUAAAAGGACUCCAUUCCUAUUAUGGAGUGCAUAAGCUCCUGCCACGAUCUCCUGUCGCAGAUCGAAAGUCAGGACACGAGCUGAAUGUGGACAUUGCGAAGCUGGACAAGGCGGCGACCAGCAUUCAGGCCAUGCUUAACAAGUUUAAUACUCACAAGCACCGGAAUCCAGAGUUCCGCUACUCUGAUGGAGCCGAGGAGUGUCUUAAUCUUGUCACAAAAUGGAACGACAAGGCGCAAGCACUGCUGGGAUCACAGGAGAAGCGUUGUGACAAGAUCUCGGAGCUGAUACACAGCUACGAGGACGAUCUCCUUCCGAAAAUUGAAAGGUACGAGCGAGAAGGGUUGAGAGUGAUACAGCCGAGCACUAGCUUCGCCGUACGGAGUUCCCCGCAAGACAGAGGCCCUGCAAAAAAAUAUGUACGGCGUGUUUUUCCUGAUCCCAUGUUUGGGGGCCAUGAGCAACUGCUGGAUGAGGUGGUGAAUGCCCUCUUGGAUCCUGAAGCCCGUAGCAAAUGGGUUGGACUGUUGGGAGGCGAAUGGGAGCGUGCCUCGGAUUAACGCAGGGGUUGCCUCUCACUCUGCGCAUCGAGCGUGAGAAGCGGAUCCAGGCCGUGUACAUCCAGGGCGCUGCGACGAAAAUGCAGGCUCUCGUGAAGAGAGGCAAUUGCUCCCAUUCAAUAUCAGGAGCUAGCCAAAAGUGCAACUCUUUCAGAUUUGGAAGACUGGCAGCCAAAUCAUCCUUGAAUUUUGACUGUGCAAUGCGUAGAUUAGUAAGCCACAGCCUUUCAAGACUUGGGAAUGAUCCAUCCGGUUGAAGAAGUGGAUACGAUUGCAUUUAAUAAAAAAAUGUUUCUAGGCCGUGGGGCAACCAA